RNAcentral lists this transfer RNA (77 nucleotides) under bacterium. RNAcentral describes it as "tRNA-Ile". It matches the Rfam family "tRNA". From Rfam's summary of the family: Transfer RNA (tRNA) molecules are approximately 80 nucleotides in length. Their secondary structure includes four short double-helical elements and three loops (D, anti-codon, and T loops). Further hydrogen bonds mediate the characteristic L-shaped molecular structure. tRNAs have two regions of fundamental functional importance: the anti-codon, which is responsible for specific mRNA codon recognition, and the 3' end, to which the tRNAs corresponding amino acid is attached (by aminoacyl-tRNA synthetases). tRNAs cope with the degeneracy of the genetic code in two manners: having more than one tRNA (with a specific anti-codon) for a particular amino acid; and 'wobble' base-pairing, i.e. permitting non-standard base-pairing at the 3rd anti-codon position. The record is from RNAcentral. RNAcentral also lists the same sequence under 3 other names.
GGGCGAUUAGCUCAGUUGGUUAGAGCGCGACACUGAUAAUGUCGAGGUCGGAAGUUCAAGUCUUCCAUCGCCCACCA